CCAAUUCUUAACUUCCCAGUCAUGUGCGGUAUCCUUUUCCCGGAGGCUCUUAGCUCAUAAGUGAGCGGAUGCC
Molecule: transfer RNA, 73 nt
Filed under: Corynebacterium pseudotuberculosis
Lineage: Bacteria; Bacillati; Actinomycetota; Actinomycetes; Mycobacteriales; Corynebacteriaceae
Description: tRNA-Arg
Source: RNAcentral